Molecule: ribosomal RNA, 3690 nt
Filed under: Hadesarchaea archaeon
Lineage: Archaea; Methanobacteriati; Hadarchaeota (SeqCode); Hadarchaeia (SeqCode)
Description: 23S ribosomal RNA
Rfam family: Archaeal large subunit ribosomal RNA
Source: RNAcentral
AACUUAGUAAGCCACCUGGGGGAUGGCUUGGCUCGAGCGCCGAAGAAGGCCGUGGCAAGCGGCGAAACGCCUAGGCGAGGUGCAAGCAACCGUUGAACCUAGGAUCGCUGAAUGGGACUUCCUGACGAAGGGAAACCUUCGUCGCUCGCGCGAGCGAGCGGGAACCCCGGGAACGGAAACAUCUUAUUACCGGGAGGAAAAGAAAGCAAACGCGAUGCCGGGAGUAACGGCGAGUGAAACCGGCGCAGGGCAAACCGAACCUGGUGAUGAAAAUCACUGGGGAUGUGGAGUUGUAGGACUCCCCCCAAUCUCUCGCGUGAGAAGCCGAAGCAGUUGGAAACCUGCGCCUUAGAGGGUGACAGCCCCGUAGGCGUAAUCACGCAGGGUACGAGGGGGAGUAUCCUGAGUAGGGCGCCUCGGAAUUGGUGCCUGAAGCUGGGGGGCAUCAACCCCUAACCCUAAACACGUCUCGAGACCGAUAGCGGACGCAGUACCGCGAGGGAAAGCUGAAAAGCACCCCGGAAGGGGGGUUAAAAGAGCCUGAAACUAGGUGGCGAUAGUAGGGCACGGCUCGAAAGAGUUGAUCCUCCCCGAAGGAAGCCGUCGCGAGGCGGUUGUACGAGGGGAGGGAAUCAGGGUCGUGCCGUCCGUCUAGAAUCACGGGCCAGGGAGUUUCGUGUCGUGGCGAGGCUAAGCGGUUCAACCGCGGAGCCAGAGCGAAAGCAAAAGGUCCGCAGCCCGCAAGGGUGAGGGACUGGGUGUUAACAGCGCCCGGAGUCACGGCGCGAAGACCCGAAACCGGGCGAUCUAGUCCGAGGCAGGCUGAAGUCCCCCUUUGGGGGAUGGAGGGCCGAACCGGUCUUGAUGUGCAAUUCGGUCGGAUGACCUUGGGCUAGUGGCGAAAGACCAAUCAAGCCCGGUGACAGCUGGUUCCUUCCGAAGCUGGCCGCAGUCAGGCCUAGCGCGAGGUCGCCGGUAGCGUAGAGCACCGAUUGGGGAAGUAUGGGGGGAAACCCUCGGCUCUCCUGUCGAACUCCGAAGCUGCCGGCACCGUAGACCGCUAGAGACGGGAUGCGGGGGGUAAGCUCCCGCUCCGAGAGGGGAAAAACCCAGACUGGGGUUAAGGCCCCUAAAUGUCGGCUAAGUGUCAACCUAGAAGGGCGUCCUCGUCCUCAGACAGUGGGAAGGUAGGCUCAGAAGCAGCCAUCCUUUAAACAACGCGUAAUAGCGGACCCAUCGAGGGCGGGGGCCCCGAAGAUUCACGGGGCUAAGCCGACUGCCGAUACCUCAGGGCAGUCGAAGUUUAGUAGACUGAUCUGGUAGGAAGGCGUCCGGCGUGGGGAGAAGUACGGCCGUGAGGUCGUAUGGACCGCGCUGGAAUGAGGAUCCUGGUGGUAGUAGCAGCAUAGUUGGGUGAGAAUCCCAACCGCCGAAGGGGCCCGGGUUCCUCGACAAUGAUCGUCAGUCGAGGGUUAGUCGGUCCUAAGGUGGCUCUCAACCAGACGCCAUCGAAAGGGAAUCCGGUUAAUAUUCCGGAACCAUCCAGGUACCUGCGGCAACGCAAGCCUGGCUUCCGACGCUCUGAGAUAGGUCGAGUGAGGUCGUCGCCUCAUUUAACCGUUGAAACCCGGGGAGUUCCGUAAUGGAGAGAACCGGGUGAAGGCGGGAAUAGCCUGCCGUUAGGUGGGUUCGGCUGAUUCUUGGAGCCCGUGAAAAGGGGGCCAGGAAAUGGGAUCCUGGGUGACCGUACCUAGAUCCGACACAGGUGCCCCUAGGUGAGAAGCCUAAGGCGUGUCGAGAGACACCAGGCUAGGGAAUUCGGCAAGUUGGCCCAAAAGCUUCGGUAGAAUGGGUGCCUGCUCCGCGAGGGGCAGGUCGCAGUGACUAGGGGGCUACGACUGUUUAAUAAAAACGUAGCUUACUGCGAAGGCGAAAGCCCUUGUACAGUAAGUGAAUUCUGCCCAGUGGCGGUACGUGAAAGCCCGGUCCAACGGGCAGAAGCGCCGCUAAACGGCGGGGGUAACUAUAACCCUCUUAAGGUAGCGUAAUACCUUGCCGCUUAAUUGGCGGCUUGCAUGAAGGAAUCAACGAUAGCCCCACUGUCCCAGCCUGGAACUCGGUGAACCCACUGGCCGGCGCACAUGCCGGGGACCCCCGAAGGGAAACGAAGACCCCAUGGACCUUUACUGCAGCUUGUCGUUGGGGCGCGGUCGCGAUUGCAGAGCGUAGGCGGGAGCCUUAGAAGCCCGGCCUUAGGGUCGGGUGGAGGCGCCAAUGUAACACCGCCCUUUCGUGACUACGCCUCUAACCCCGCGAGGGAGACAGCGGCAGGUGGGCAGUUUCGCUGGGGCGGCAGUCCCUCGAAAAGAUAUCAAGGGAGCCCAAAGGUCGGCUCAGGCGGGUCAGAACUCCGCCGUAGAGGGCAAGGCCAAAAGCCGGCCUGACUGUGAGCUCACUACCAAGGCUCGCAGAGGCGAAAGCCGGGCCUAGCGAACCUCGAUGUCCCUCUUGGUGAGGGCUCGGGAUGACAGAAAAGGUACCCUGGGGAUAACAGAGUUGUCGCGGGCGAGAGCCCCUAUCGACCCCGCGGUUUGCUACCUCGAAAUACGGGGUAUGGCGGCAGCAAUGCCGACCAAAGCACCGGCUAAUAUCGGAGAACCCUCCGCAAUAAAUUGAAUAAGGGAAAAUCUAGUAGUUGUGGAGGCAACUCCGAGGGAAGUGGGCAUAUGGAAAAACCACUGAGUAAAGUUCAGAGAGAACUCAUAAUCGGGUCUUUGUUGGGCGAUGGACAUUUGCGUCCUCAUAGAGGCAAGGUGGUCUUUGAGUUUCUACAAACGGCGAGGCGCAAGUUCUACGUUGAAUGGAAACACAGCAUCCUGAAAGGUGUCGCCUGUCCUAAGAUUUAUCACAGCAAAGGUAACCGGGAGUACUACAAAAUGGUGACGAGAACACAUCCGGAGUUGAUGGAGCUUUACCGUUUUUUCUACAGAGAAGGCCGCAAGAUAGUGCCAGAGAAAAUCAAAGAAAUGUUGACGCCGUUUGCGUUGGCAGUCUGGUUCAUGGAUGAUGGUAGUAAGAGCCGUGGUUCAGUUUACUUCAACACUCAGGGAUUUACGGUAGACGAUCAGUUCCGGCUGAUAAGGGCACUUAGAAAAUUUCACUUGAUUGCCAACAUAAAUCGAGAUGGAAUGUACUAUCGUCUCAGGCUGCUCAAGAGACACAACUCAAGAUUCGUCGAGUUGGUUGGCCCAUAUAUCCUAGAAGAAUUCAAGAAAAAGUUGCCCACCCCGUAGAGACUGAUGCCAGGUGGCAGAUGAGUUGGAUCACAUCGUGUGGUCCAAAAUACGCCGGCCCCCGCCUAGGUGCGGGGUGAAGAAAUAGUCCGAAGAGAAAUCUUCGCGAUGUCGGUUCUUCCCAUCCUGGCCGUGUAGCAGCGGCCAAGGGUAGGGUUGUUCGCCCAUUAAAGGGGAACGUGAGCUGGGUUUAGACCGUCGUGAGACAGGUCGGAUGCUAUCUUUCGGGGGUGUUGGGUGCCUGAGGGUAAGGUAUCCCUAGUACGAGAGGAACAGGAUGCCGGCGCCUCUGGUUUACCGGUUGUCCGACAGGGCAGAGCCGGGCAGCUACGCGCCAGUCGAUAAGGCCUGAAAGCAUCUAAGGCCGAAGCGACACCCGAAAAUAGGCACCCUGGGC